RNAcentral lists this long non-coding RNA (950 nucleotides) under Pan troglodytes (chimpanzee). RNAcentral's name for it is "lincRNA". Lineage: Eukaryota; Metazoa; Chordata; Mammalia; Primates; Hominidae. The record is from RNAcentral.
UUUGGCUACUGUUCAUUAGUUGAUGCUGAAACUGUUCUUACUGAAGCCUUCUGCUUCAAAUUGAGGGUGACAACAUUGACUCUCCUGGUUCUCAGACCUCUGGAUAUGAGACCUCUGGCGCAACUCACCCCUGGCUUGCACCAAACAUUCUUAAAAUGUUUAUUGGGGUCAGGUGCAAUGGCUCGCACCUGCAAUCCCAGCGCUUUGGGAGGCCAAGGCAGGAGGACUGCUUGAGACCAGGAGUUCAAGACCAGCCUGUACAACAAGACAAUUUGGCCAGGAAGUGACCGGCAAUGGAAAGAGGGAAAUAAUCAGCACAUCCGCAUGUGUGCCCAUCUCAGAGACACAAACUGUGAAUAACAACUCACUUGGCUUCAUAACCAAGACCUACUCUGAGGAAUUGCAUCUCUUCCUUGGAGACCUUGAUUGGCCUGCUAGGUUAAAGUACAGACAGGAUUUCCACAUGUCGCCAGGCUGAUCUCAGACCUGGAUCUUCCCACCUCAGCCUCUGAACGUGCUGGGAUUACAGUUGAAGGUCUGGAAUGGAAACUCCUAUUGUGAUCUUAAGGGCUGUAACCCAGAGAAUCUGGUUCUUCCUGGAGUAUUUCAGCAGGGAUCAGCUUAAAUAGGUCCACUUGAAGUUCACAACUGCCAAAACCGCGUGUUCAGACUGAAAGGCUGGGAGCAUUUCAGACGCAUUUAUGAACUUCCACCAAGAUGAUCCGGCAGGCUGAAAUCGCAGGGAGAGCGUCUGUUCAACAAACCCUUUCUUCUUGAUUGAAUUAGUGUUGCCCACUAACAGGAUGAGGAAUUCCCACUCCACAAGCUGACUUUUUUUCCUCUUUCCACCUCCCGCCUCCCUCCAUUAAAAUGUAAACUUGAUUCCUGUGUCCUUUGCCGGAGCCUGGCUUCCCUGUAAGCCCAUCAUAAACAUCUUGGUAGAAAUGCAA